CAUGUGCACGCCCUGAUUGCACAUCCACAUCUCACACCUGUGCACAACCUGUAGCUUGGGAUGAUUAUGAAUGCUGGAAACGGUGUUUGAAUCCCUUGCUAUGAAUUUUUACACACACUUGUAUAAGUCAUAGAAUGAAUAAAGUUAUAGCGUGUAACAACGUUAACAAAUACAACUUUCAGCAACGGAUCUCUUGGCUCUCGCAUCGAUGAAGAACGCAGCGAAAUGCGAUAAGUAAUGUGAAUUGCAGAAUUCAGUGAAUCAUCGAAUCUUUGAACGCACCUUGCGCUCCUUGGUAUUCCGAGGAGCAUGCCUGUUUGAGUGUCAUGAAAUUCUCAACUGCUUCAGCUUUUGUAGCUGAAGUGAAGUUGGAUUUGGAGGAUGAUUGCUGGCGUGACUUUGGUUGCUUGUCGGCUCCUCUUGAAUGCAUGAGCUAUAUCCAGUGGAUCAUGGUGAAGCACCAAUAUGAUAAUUAUCUAUGUUGGAUGUGAAAGCCAUUGAGCAGAGGUUCUGUUAUCAGAAUCUCCUACAGGAAAGCUGUGUCUCGGUUAUAUAGACCUGUUGACAAUAUAAAUGACAAAUUUGACCUCAAAUCAGGUAGGACUAC
This 607-nucleotide unclassified non-coding RNA is filed under the name uncultured Pseudotomentella. RNAcentral's name for it is "sequence contains ITS1, 5.8S rRNA gene and ITS2". The stretch from base 174 to 327 matches the Rfam family "5.8S ribosomal RNA". The record is from RNAcentral. Lineage: Eukaryota; Fungi; Basidiomycota; Agaricomycetes; Thelephorales; Thelephoraceae.